GUCCUAUGUACAUCUUUCCCUCAAGUGUUUGUGGACAUUGACGAGAUCCUUCUGAGCUUCCAAUUUGAGCAGUUUCAGGUCUCUCAGCUUCUCACUAGAGAGGUGCUUCAGGCCCUUUAUCAUCUUGGUUGCCCUGUGAUGCACUCCGUCCAGAUCCUUCUUGUACUGGAUGGCCCAUCACAGGGUCCAGUACUUCAGGUACAGCCUCAGCAGUGCUGAGUAGAAUGGAGGGAUCACCUCCUCCUUCCUGCUGGUAAUACUUUUCCUAAUGCAACCCAGGAUACCAUUGGCCUUGGUGUCAGCCCAUUUCUCUAGUGUUGGAGGUCUCUCUGUAUGGGUGGAUCUUGAGUGAUUUAGCUUGUCCUUUCAGUUUUGUCAUCUGCAAAUUUACUUGAAGGUGUGAUCUAUCCCAUCAUCCAGAAUACUAGUGAAGAUGUUAGAUGGGACUGGACUCAACAUUGGCCGCUGGGAUACUUCACUCAAUAUGAGCCUUCAACUGUACUUUGCAUUGCUGACUCCUAUCUUUUGGGCCCUACCGUUUAGUCAGUUUUGAUCAGCCCUACUGACCACUCAUGCAGCCCAUAUUUCAACAGCUUCUCUCAGUCUGGAUGUUAGGAAGAGGUUCUUUACCAACAGGGUGGUCAGGCACUGGAACAGGCUUCCAAAUGCAGUGGUCACAGCACCAAGGUACUAGAGUUCAAGAAACAUUUUGAACAAUGCUGUCAGACAGGGUUUGAAUUUUGGGAGGGCUCGUGUGCAGUCAGGAGUUGGACUAUAUGGAGUAUAUGGAAUAUACCUUCUGAGUAUAUUCCUACUCAGGAUAUUUUAUGAUUUAUAGUUUGUGAUGGGAGACAGUGUCUCAAAGGCCUUACUGAAAUAUAGGAAUAUCCAACAGUAUUCACUGCUCCUGUCUCAUCCAUCAGGCUGGUCAUUUUGUUAUAGAAGCUUGCCAGGUUGAUCAAGCAGUACUUCCACCUGGUGAAUCUAUACUGGAUGUGCCUGAUAAUUCUUAGGUCCUUCAUGUGGAAAAGUUUUCCAGGAUUAGCUGUUCUAUUACCUUACCAGAGAUCAAGGUGGAGCUGACAGCUUUUAAGAUCAAGGAAGGAAGGUUUAGAUUGAAUGUCAGGGAGGAGCUCUUUACAGAGAGAGUGAUGAGGUGCUGGAACAGGCUGCCCAGAGAGGUUGUGGAUGCUCUGUACCUGGAGAUGUUCAAGACUAGGCCCUGUCUAGUAUCAGAUCUGGAGGUUGUUGGCCCUGCCUGUAGCAGGGAGGUUGGAACUUGAUGAUAAUUGGUGGGGUCCCUUCCAACCCAAAUCAUUCAGUAUUUCUAAGAAGAGCUGGCAGUUCUCUGGGUCUUUCUUUUUUCUCUUCUUGAAGAUACGAGUGACAUUUGCUUUCCUCCAGUUUUGAGUUGGUUUUCCCAGUUGCUGAGACUGACCAAACACUGUAGAGAGAGGAUUCAUAAUCUUAUCUACCAGCUCCAUCAGAACUUGUGGUUGCAUCCUAUCAGAGCCCAUGGAUUUAUGAAUGCAAAAAGAGUGGACUAAAAAUGAG
Molecule: long non-coding RNA, 1554 nt
Filed under: Gallus gallus (chicken)
Lineage: Eukaryota; Metazoa; Chordata; Aves; Galliformes; Phasianidae
Source: RNAcentral